Molecule: non-coding RNA, 1281 nt
Organism: Odocoileus virginianus texanus
Lineage: Eukaryota; Metazoa; Chordata; Mammalia; Artiodactyla; Cervidae
Source: RefSeq, a predicted model, not a curated record
GGCACCCAGAUCCUCUCCCGGGCUGGCUCUCAGCAGAGAGUGGAUGCUUUCUUCCUGAAGCUGGGCUCCAAAGGGCCGGAGGCGUUCUGUGCUUUUUGCUCUCAUCUGGAGGAAUUCUGCCCUUACCUGCUCACCUGCUUUUUUCUUUACUUCCAAGAGAGGACCCGCGGGACCCUGCAAGACGCAGCUGCCGCAGCGCAGGAGGCAAAGGCUGGAGCUCAGCCUGAGAAGCUUCACAGAGUCCUUGAGCCGGAGGAUCGGGGAAGUCUUCAAUUAUUUAACAAGGUAACGCCGUCCUCUGAAAACCCCAGUGGUGCUACUUCUAGUAUCAGCCAAGGAAAGCCUUCUUUAAGACGAAUUAAAGGGAGACUGCACAGAAGCAAGAGCCUCGAUAGCAUCGAUUUCUGUGAACUCACUGUGAGUGGAUGGUUUAAGACUUUUCUUCCUUUUCAAAGCAUAUGAAAAAAUUGAUUUUUAAAAAUUAUCAUUAGAAGGAAAUGGGAUUAUUUUGUAUUAAGCAUUUUUCAGUAAAAACUGGUUUACACAACAGGUUACCAACUGGCAUAACUUUCUUAACCAGUACCCAUAGAUAUGUUUGUGAUAAGUGGUUCAUAAUGAUGAUUCUGGUUCACAGACCAAGAUAAAGAUGUGUUUCCUGAACUCUACAAUAAAAGUUGAGUUAAGGUCAGUGUAUGAAGUAAAUUUCUUGGAAAAAUCACAAAUCCACAUGUUAAUGUAGGUACCGAUCUAAGUAUUUGAUGAACCCCAAACACCCAACUUCCUGGUAGUUCUGGAAAAUAGAGGUGCCCUCAUAUAUUAGGACAGAUCCUGGUUCAGUUAGCGAUGGUGUUUUCUUUUUGUACUUGGUGGUUAACAUUAGUGGUCUUUUUUCACCAGGCCAGGUAACAGUUUUUCACAAGGGCAUAUGGUAAAUUCGUGAUGUUUUUAGAGAUCACCGGUGUUCAGGCCCCAUUUUCCUUUCCUGUUAAUUGUGUUGUCCUGGUCUAGAAGAGCUGCUUAAUGCCAUAAAGGAAACACUAGGGUUUUCUCUGUGAGAAAACCAGCUGUGAGAUUUUUUUCAUAUGUAUGUGCUGUAGGAUUCAUUGGCAAAUUAAUGGAUGUUUGGGAUGCUUAGACAAGAUAUGUUAAUUUCUCCCCUCUUUGAGCUCUGACAAAUUCAGAAUUAUGAAAAUACCACUGACCAUUAUUGUUUCAAAAGGCAGUUAGAAAGCAUAGAAGUAAAGCCUGUCUUUUUUGAGGACACAACUGCAGCAUCUUUUA